GAGUAUCUGCCUUACAUGCAGAAGGUCCCAGGUAGAGUAUCUGCCUUACAUGCAGAAGGUCCCAGGUUCAAUCCCUGGAAUGUCCA
This is a non-coding RNA of Podarcis lilfordi (Lilford's wall lizard), 86 nucleotides long. NCBI's taxonomy places the organism in Eukaryota, Metazoa, Chordata, Lepidosauria, Squamata, Lacertidae. The record is from the annotation of a GenBank genome assembly.